UCAAUUUUCCCCCAAAAUUUUAAAACCCCGCCCUUGUAAAAUUUCCCCCAAAAUUUUUAUACAGCUUGAAUUGUUACCAAAAAAACAAGAAGAACGAAAUGGCAAACAGAAAUUAAAAAAUACAGAGAAUAAUUAUUCUAGAGAGAGGAGGGAGACUCGAGAAAUUCAUCAAUUAGGUCGACGGUUCUUCAUCGCAAUUCACAAUUCGCAAUUCGCAAUUCACAAUUCGCAGUUCGCAGUCACAGUUCUAGGGUUUAGAGGAUCUGCAAUUCGCAAGUGGAGGGUUUAGAAGGUCUGAAACAUCACCAAGAAGAAGAAAGGGGACGACGAAGGAAGGAGACAGAUCAGCCCAUUCAAGCUGUAAUCCCGUACAACAGAUUCAAAAACUUUCGCAAGGAUGCCAUUUCGAGAUGACCUUUCUCUAGGUCUUAUAAUGAAUGCAAAAGGCUUCAUUGAGUUGGCAUUAUUGAAUCACAAAAUGAAAGAUAGCGGGAUGUCUGAUGAGGGUUUGUGAUAAUGAUCAUAUCAGUGGUGUUCAUGACAGGAGUAUUGUCGCCAGUUGUAAAGAUUCUUUAUGAUCCAUCAAGAAGAUAUAUGGAUUUUAAGAGGACCAUAAGGCACAAUAAGAGAGAUGAAGAGCUACGCAUUUUGGCAUGUGUACAUAGUGCAGACAAUGUAAGGGAAGUUAUGAGUGUGGUGCAUGUCUCCAAUCCCACGAAAGCAAGUCCUAUUAAUUAACUUAACAGUCAUGCAUCUGACAAGGCUAUUAACUCGGCAGUGUAUCUGCGGGAAGACAGAAAACUUAUUAACCAGAUGAUGAGUCAACAUCUGAGUAUGAUGGAGGCGAGAAUGAGGAUGAAACUACUAGCAACAUGAAAAUUGAAAAUUUUUCACCUGUCAUAACAAAAAGGAGCAUGGUGAGCUAAAUGGAAGAGAAAUGCAGAUCUAGCAAAUGAGACGGUGGAGGCUCUUGUUUGUUUUUGAGUCAUUUGAUUUUCAUUUUAUGUAUUUUUUCAUUAAAAACACUAAAUUAAUUAGUGAAUAACUAUUUUAUAAUGCAUGUGUCCUAUGGGCACUAAUAUUGUAAUAUUACUCUUAAAGUCAAUGAAAAUCUUUUGUUAUUGA
This is a long non-coding RNA of Spinacia oleracea (spinach), 1125 nucleotides long. RefSeq lists it as uncharacterized. NCBI's taxonomy places the organism in Eukaryota, Viridiplantae, Streptophyta, Magnoliopsida, Caryophyllales, Amaranthaceae. The record is from RefSeq and is a predicted model, not a curated record. The transcript is spliced from 5 exons.